This 467-nucleotide ribosomal RNA is filed under the name uncultured bacterium. Its description in RNAcentral is "partial 16S ribosomal RNA". It matches the Rfam family "Bacterial small subunit ribosomal RNA", at positions 28 to 507 of the family's 1533-position model. The record is from RNAcentral.
GACGAACGCUGGCGGCGUGCUUAACACAUGCAAGUCUAACGGAAAGGCCCUGCUUUUGUGGGGUGCUCGAGUGGCGAACGGGUGAGUAACACGUGAGUAACCUGCCCUUGACUUUGGGAUAACUUCAGGAAACUGGGGCUAAUACCUGAUAGGAGCUCCUGCUGCAUGGUGGGGUUUGGAAAGUUUCGGCGGUUGGGGAUGGACUCGCGGCUUAUCAGCUUGUUGGUGGGGUAGUGGCUUACCAAGGCUUUGACGGGUAGCCGGCCUGAGGGGUGACCGGCCACAUUGGGACUGAGAUACGGCCCAGAGUCCUACGGGAGGCAGCAGUGGGGAAUAUUGCACAAUGGGCGGAAGCCUGAUGCAGCAACGGCGCGUGCGGGAUGACGGCCUUCGGGUUGUAAACCGCUUUCGCCUGUGACGAAGCGUGAGUGACGGUAAUGGGUAAAGAAGCACCGGCUAACUACGUG